AGUCGAGCGAGCAUUUUAAAGGAAGUUUUCGGAUGGAAUUUGAAAUGACUGAGCGGCGGACGGGUGAGUAACGCGUGGGUAACCUGCCUCAUACAGGGGGAUAACAGUUAGAAAUGACUGCUAAUACCGCAUAAGCACACAGUACCGCAUGGUACAGAGUGAAAAACUCCGGUGGUAUGAGAUGGACCCGCGUCUGAUUAGCUUGUUGGCGGGGUAACGGCCCACCAAGGCGACGAUCAGUAGCCGACCUGAGAGGGUGACCGGCCACAUUGGGACUGAGACACGGCCCAAACUCCUACGGGAGGCAGCAGUGGGGAAUAUUGCACAAUGGGGGAAACCCUGAUGCAGCAACGCCGCGUGAGUGAAGAAGUAUUUCGGUAUGUAAAGCUCUAUCAGCAGGGAAGAAAGUGACGGUACCUGACUAAGAAGCCCCGGCUAACUACGUGCCAGCAGCCGCGGUAAUACGUAGGGGGCAAGCGUUAUCCGGAUUUACUGGGUGUAAAGGGAGCGUAGACGGCACAGCAAGUCUGAAGUGAAAUCCCCGGGCUCAACCCGGGAACUGCUUUGGAAACUGUUGGGCUAGAGUGCUGGAGAGGCAAGCGGAAUUCCUAGUGUAGCGGUGAAAUGCGUAG
Molecule: ribosomal RNA, 632 nt
Filed under: uncultured bacterium
Lineage: Bacteria
Description: bacterial SSU rRNA
Rfam family: Bacterial small subunit ribosomal RNA
Source: RNAcentral